Molecule: ribosomal RNA, 403 nt
Filed under: uncultured bacterium
Lineage: Bacteria
Description: partial 16S ribosomal RNA
Rfam family: Bacterial small subunit ribosomal RNA
Source: RNAcentral
AUUGAACGCUUGCGGCAGGCCUAAAACAUGCAAGUCGAGCUAGCGGCGGACGGGUGAGUAAUGUAUGGGGACUGCCCGAUAGAGUGGGAUAACUACUGGAAACGGUUGCUAAUACCGCAUACUAUCGGAUAACCCAUAUUGGAUUAGCUAGUUGGUGUGGUACAGGCUCACCUAGGCGACGAUCUCUAGCUGGUCUGCGAGGAUGAUCAGCCACACUGGGACCGAGACACGGCCCAGACUCCGACGGAGGCAGCAGUGGGGAAUAUUGCACAAUGGGCGCAAGCCUUACGCAGCCAUGCCGCGUGUAUGAAGAAGGCCUUAGGGUUGUAAAGUACUGUCAGCGGGGAGGCGUUACCCGCAGAAGAAGCACCGGCUAACUCCGUGCCAGCAGCCGCGGUAAUAC